UAAAGUGGCGCACGGGUGAGUAACACGUGACUAACCUACCCUGGAGUGGGGGAUAACUGAGGGAAACCUUAGCUAAUACCGCAUAAUACCUAUGGGUCAAAGGAGCAAUUCGCUUUAGGAGGGGGUCGCGGCAGAUUAGCUAGUUGGCGGGGUAAUGGCCCACCAAGGCAGUGAUCUGUAUCCGGCCUGAGAGGGCGCACGGACACACUGGAACUGAAACACGGUCCAG
RNAcentral lists this ribosomal RNA (229 nucleotides) under uncultured bacterium. Its description in RNAcentral is "partial 16S ribosomal RNA". It matches the Rfam family "Bacterial small subunit ribosomal RNA", at positions 91 to 334 of the family's 1533-position model. The record is from RNAcentral.